Molecule: non-coding RNA, 838 nt
Organism: Biomphalaria pfeifferi
Lineage: Eukaryota; Metazoa; Mollusca; Gastropoda; Planorbidae
Source: the annotation of a GenBank genome assembly
AUUUAUUUUUUUUUUUUUUUGUACAUUAAAAGAUAAUGUUCAAUUUAAAACAAAAGAUUUUGAUUAAAUCAGUGAAGAUUCAUUUUAAAGCUAAUUAAUAAUUAAUAUGUUUUUGCAAAAAGAAAUAUGGAUAAUUUGAGUGCACUAACUAAUUGGACCAACUGCAUAUUUAGGAGGGAACAUUCUUGUAAUACAGAAAAUGUUCAUAUAACCUGACAAGCCAGUUAUUCGGAUCAAAAGCAUUAUGUGCCAAUUUAGUCCAAUUAACUGGAAUCUAAAGUAACUGGAACAAAAAAAUUUGCUUUUGUUUAAAACAAACAAAACAAUGUUUUCGUAUAAAGUCAUAAAUGUUGCUUAGUUUUCUUUUGAUUCUAUUCCAUGUGUUUCACAUACACCAAAUUAGACUGCUUUGUCCAAUGUUAGAAUUCAAAGAUGUCAGUAGGGUUUUUCAUUAAAUGAUAAGCAUGUGAAUUGUUGGGUUUUUAAUGUAACUAUUGAUCAGAAGUGUUUUAAAUGCUCUAAAGUGUGUCAUUUGAUUGUGCUUAUGUAAUGGAACACACUUGCAUCACCUCAAAACUGUUUUGUGGUUAAGUCAACAUUUUUGUGGUACAACUUAUUUCAAAUGCAUCCUUCAUGUGUUUUUUUUUUUUUAAUGGUAAAAAAAAAAUUAGAUUCUAAUAUCAAACACUGUAAUUAAAUUAGCAUUCACCUAGAUAUAUUUUUUUAAAGUGGAUUUAUGUAUUAGCUAAUUAGUCAGGUAAUUCUUCAAUUGUGCAUGUAUCCAGAUUUAUUUUUGUUCUCUUUCAAAUAAAGCCUAAAAGAACAACCAAAAAACAAA